Molecule: ribosomal RNA, 434 nt
Filed under: uncultured bacterium
Lineage: Bacteria
Description: bacterial SSU rRNA
Rfam family: Bacterial small subunit ribosomal RNA
Source: RNAcentral
GGCGCAGCAGUCGGGAAUUUUGGGCAAUGGGCGAAAGCCUGACCCAGCAACGCCGCGUGAAGGAUGAAGUAUUUCGGUAUGUAAACUUCGAAAGAAUAGGAAGAAUAAAUGACGGUACUAUUUAUAAGGUCCGGCUAACUACGUGCCAGCAGCCGCGGUAAUACGUAGGGACCAAGCGUUGUUCGGAUUUACUGGGCGUAAAGGGCGCGUAGGCGGUGUUGUAAGUCACUUGUGAAAUCUCUGAGCUUAACUCAGAACGGCCAAGUGAUACUGCAGUACUAGAGUGCGGAAGGGGCAAUCGGAAUUCUUGGUGUAGCGGUGAAAUGCGUAGAUAUCAAGAGGAACACCUGAGGUGAAGACGGGUUGCUGGGCCGACACUGACGCUGAUGCGCGAAAGCCAGGGGAGCAAACGGGAUUAGAUACCCCGGUAGUCC